GUGGGGAAUCUUGCGCAAUGGGCGAAAGCCUGACGCAGCCAUGUCGCGUGAAUGAUGAAGGUCUUAGGAUUGUAAAAUUCUUUCACCGGGGACGAUAAUGACGGUACCCGGAGAAGAAGCUCCGGCUAACUUCGUACCAGCAGCCGCGGUAAUACGAAGGGGGCUAGCGUUGCUCGGAAUUACUGGGCGUAAAGGGCGCGUAGGCGGACAGCUUAGUCAGAGGUGAAAGCCCAGGGCUCAACCUUGGAAUUGCCUUUGAUACUGACUGUCUUGAGUUUGGGAGAGGUGAGUGGAACUCCGAGUGUAGAGGUGAAAUUCGUAGAUAUUCGGAAGAACACCAGUGGCGAAGGCGACUCACUGGCCCAAUACUGACGCUGAGGCGCGAAAGCGUGGGGAGCAAACAGGAUUAGAUACCCGGGUAGUCC
This 425-nucleotide ribosomal RNA is filed under the name uncultured bacterium. RNAcentral's name for it is "partial 16S ribosomal RNA". It matches the Rfam family "Bacterial small subunit ribosomal RNA", at positions 354 to 796 of the family's 1533-position model. The record is from RNAcentral.